AGUAACUGCAGCAGAGACAGGUUUUGAGCUUGUGAUCCUCUUGCUUCAGGUUUGGCUAUGGACAUAAAUCAACAUUUCAAUGCCAAGACCAUUUUACUCUUUAUGGAUUUGUAUUUCUUCUGUUGUCUGGUACAUUGUCCUUUGAGGGGCCUCUCAGCAUUCUGCACUGGCUUUUCCUCUGCCUGGAAUGGUCUCUCGAAUUACCCAUGGACAUACACACCCAAGAAAUGCUAUCUACUCUGUUCCAGCCUGCAAUAAUCACAGAAUUCAAAGUGACUGAUUUCCCUCUUAACAUCUGUCUACAUCUCUGUUCAGAUACUGGAAUAAAACUCAGGACCUCAAGCUUGAAAGAGAAGCACAUUAUGGACUGGCUGAGAUAUCACCAUUUCAACUUCCUAAUAAAAUUUUCAAUUUCUCAAUAAGGAGCUAUAAACAAAUGUUGAAUUUACUUUUUUCUUUUGUUGCACAUCUGUCUUAAAUUUGAAUAACUUUAGCUUAUUAUGUAAGGAAAAUGUCCCUAGAUUCUCUAUUAUGUCAUCAUCUGUCACCUGAUCACUUCCUAUGUAUCUCAGGUCAGUAUUGUGCAAAGAUCUAAGUCCUGCAUCUCUGCAAUUAUGUGUUAAAUAUCAUCUGUAUUGAAAGUCUAUCGCAUUGCAAUCUCAGAAAUUAACUGCUGUUUUAAUUUUAUUUAUUACUUAAAAAUGUUUGCAGAGACACAUCAUUUUACAUAGGUAAUUUUGUUUAGUAAACUCAUUUUGCAAAUACCGGCACUCACUCUUGCAAUGGACAGUCUUACUUUUGCCUACAAUUUCAUCUGUCAUUUGUUGACACUAAGGAAACAUUUUAUAUUAAAGGGGAAAUGGUUUAACAAUCUAGGUUAUUAUAAAUGGCAAAUGUCCUGUGACAUACAGCUUUGCUCCUAUUCACAAGAGAAACAUGGAAAGCUCACUUACUAAACCUCUCUGUAUAUAAUUUUACAAUUAAGGGAGAUUAUGGUAGAGCUGUUGCCAUAGUGAUCAUCUUUUGUCAGGCAUGUCUGUGCUUGUUAAUAAAGAAGAACAUGUUUAGAGCGAAGUAGCUUUGUUACCAGGUUGGAAUCAACAUCUUUGUCCUCUUAUCUGUAUGUCUGUGCCUUCCUUGAAGGUUUCAUUUAGAUGCUGCCAUACAUUGUAUGUAUUUCACAAACUACUGACUCUCUUCUAAUUUAUCAGCUAUUGCUCUUGAUAGCUUUAUUAACCUCCUGCUCAGAACAU
Molecule: long non-coding RNA, 1253 nt
Organism: Mesocricetus auratus (golden hamster)
Lineage: Eukaryota; Metazoa; Chordata; Mammalia; Rodentia; Cricetidae
Exons: 3
Source: RefSeq, a predicted model, not a curated record